UUCUUCCAUUCUGUUAAAAAAAAAGCUCUCACCCUCUCAACUCUCUCCCUAAAAUCCGGCGCCGCCGUGGCCGGUGGCCGGCGUUGUGCAAAAGGGGUGAUAUUGGCCCACGUUUCAUAACCCUCUUUGGAGCCCAACCCUCUUGGCCCCCUUUUUCCUCUCGGAUCCGAUGGCCGCAACGGAGGAGAGCCCUCCGACGGCGAACCCGCGAGGCGGUUCAGGUAAGCCUCUGUUCCUUUUUUAUUUUUCUUUAAUAUAUGUAAAAAAGGGAUGAUAAGAAAAGCAAAAAAAAAAAAAAAAACAGAAAGAACAAGUAAAAAAACGAAUUUAAAAAAAAUCACCUCUUAAAAACGUUUUUUAUUUUCGUUUCUUAUUAUUAUGCUCCUGGAAAAAAUCCCCUCAAAAGUUACAAUAACUCGGCCUUUAUAGCCUUUUAAAGUAACAACAUUUUUAUUUUUUUAUUUUGUGUUUCUGCUCUACUGUUUCUCUGUUGUUCUUUUUGCGCUGCUUCUGUUUCUUCUUUCAUAUUUGUUUGCAGGUGGUGGAGUCAACGGGCAGAAACCAUUGCCAUUUCGGUGCAACCUCGGUGAAGGAGUCGUCAUCGGGCGUCGUGCACGCCGAGGGCGCACAUGGAGGAGGCUGCGGCGCGAGGAGGUGUUAGGGCUAAGGUUUCUGAGAAUGAGUUUAGGUUGUGGGCCAACGAGCUGCUCAGGGUUUUUGUAUUUUGGGCUAUUUGGGCCUCUUUUGUAAAUGGACUUUUUUAUUAUUUUUAUUUCGUUUUAUUUUAUUUAGUUUUGGGUCCGGUGCUAAAAUUGAGCCUAUAUUGGCUCAACCCAUAAUGAAGCCUAGUUGUAACAAAUUUAAUAUUUAAGCAAGCUUCGUUCACUUGUAUAUAUAGGGUGAGAGCUUGUAUAGAUAUUGUAUUGAUAGAAUAGUUUGAGGGUUUUCUUUUUUUCUUUUUAAAUAUAUUAGCCUUUGAACAAUUAGCAAAGGCUUUGAUUAUUUUCAUUGGUUGUUAAAAUUUUCAAUUUCAUUAUAAUUAAAUUGUUUCUUGAUGAA
RNAcentral lists this long non-coding RNA (1059 nucleotides) under Gossypium raimondii (Peruvian cotton). RNAcentral's name for it is "long non-coding RNA (GRAI_LNC003276)". Lineage: Eukaryota; Viridiplantae; Streptophyta; Magnoliopsida; Malvales; Malvaceae. The record is from RNAcentral.